Molecule: long non-coding RNA, 251 nt
Filed under: Helianthus annuus (common sunflower)
Lineage: Eukaryota; Viridiplantae; Streptophyta; Magnoliopsida; Asterales; Asteraceae
Description: sRNA HanXRQr2_Chr01g0020081
Source: RNAcentral
UUCAAUGCACCAACCAAGACGGCUUCUCAUCACCGGAUCAAAGUUAAACAAAAAACGCUGAAUUUGAGAUAAAAAAAUAAACGCGUUCGAAGUUGCACAAAGUGUAUUUGUGGUCAACAAAUACAAAAUCUAGCUUUUAAAUUCAUAAAACACUGAUUGUUUACAAAAAUAAAAAAGAAAAAGUAUUUCCAGCUGCCAUAUCCGAUCGGUCCAUUUCAACACACACUAAAAAUACCCGUCUUGACCUGAAC